This 875-nucleotide ribosomal RNA is filed under the name uncultured Caldisericota bacterium. Its description in RNAcentral is "bacterial SSU rRNA". It matches the Rfam family "Bacterial small subunit ribosomal RNA", at positions 512 to 1380 of the family's 1533-position model. The record is from RNAcentral. Lineage: Bacteria; Pseudomonadati; Caldisericota.
CAGCCGCGGUAAACGUAGGGGGCAAGCGUUAUCCGGAAUCACUGGGCGUAAAGGGUCCGCAGGUGUCCCGUUAAGUUAGAUGUUAAAUCGCAAGGCUCAACCUUGCGGCUGCAUCUAAUACUGACAGGAUAGAGGAUAGGUGACGGAAGUGGAAUUCCUGGUGGAGAGGUAAAAUCCGUAGAUAUCAGGAGGAACACCCGUGGCGUAGGCGGCUUCCGAACCUAUUCCUGACACUCAGGGACGAAAGCUAGGGGAGCAAACAGGAUUAGAUACCCUGGUAGUCCUAGCUGUAAACGAUGAAUACUAGAUAGUGGGUGCUACACCGUACUCACCGUCGUAGCUAACGCGUUAAGUAUUUCGCCUGGGAACUACGAUCGCAAGUUUGAAACUCAAAGGAAUUGACGGGUCCCCGCACAAGCAGCGAGGCAUGUGGCUUAAUUCGAUGCAACACGAAGAACCUUGCCUGGACUUGACAUGUUUCUGAAAGGCCGGAGAAACCCGGUCCCUUCCAGUUUACUGGAACAGUUUCACAGGUGGUGCAUGGUUGUCGUCAGCUCGUGUCGUGAGAUGUAAGGUUAAGUCCUUAAACGAGCGUAACCUUUGUCAUUAGUUGCCACCGGUUCGGCCGAGCACUCUAAUGAGACCGCUAGCGACAAGCUAGAGGAAGAUGGAGAUGACGUCAAAUCCUCACGUCCCUUAUGUCCAGGGCCGCACACAUGCGACAAUGGUAGAGACAGCGGGUUGCGACGGGGUAACCCUGAGCUAAUCCAUAAACUCUGCCUCAGUACAGAUCGAGGGCUGAAAUUCGACCUCGUGAAGAUGGAGUUGCUAGUAAACGCAGGUCAGCUAUACUGCGUUGAAUACGUUCCCGGGGA